RNAcentral lists this long non-coding RNA (435 nucleotides) under Mus pahari (shrew mouse). RNAcentral's name for it is "lncRNA (MGP_PahariEiJ_G0002234.1)". Lineage: Eukaryota; Metazoa; Chordata; Mammalia; Rodentia; Muridae. The record is from RNAcentral.
GCAAGGUGUUUUAUACCCAGCUAGAGAGAUGGCUCGGAGCAACACAUCAAUGUGUCACCUGCCUGGUAACCCUCGGUUUGUUAGGAUGUCUGGUCUUGCAGGCGUGUUAGCCUAUCGGCAUCUUCAGCAGGAGGAUCGUCUGGGGACCAGAAAGGACAUGGACAUAGGUGAGCCGGAGAGACAGGGUCCACAGAAGAGGGAGCUGAGGAAAGGUCGUGCGGCCCGGUCCGCGGCCCCAUCACUCGCCUCACCCCGCAGUCGGCGCACGUGUCGCCCAGCAUGCGGUAACCACGGAGCAGGUAGUCCCCCAUCAGACGGGAGAUGCGAUCCUGCCGCUCCCGUCGCGCCUGCAGCACCUUCGUCUCAGCUUCAGUCGGAGGCUCCCAGGUGAAAUCGUCGACAUCUGGAGAAGACAGGCACAGGAGAUGGAGCGAG